Nicotiana attenuata is the source of this 88-nucleotide small nuclear RNA. The record is from Rfam. Lineage: Eukaryota; Viridiplantae; Streptophyta; Magnoliopsida; Solanales; Solanaceae.
GUCCGUUCGGGGACAUCCGAUUAAGUUGUAACGAUAUAAAGAAGAUUAGUAUGGCCCUUGCACAAAUCGAGAAAUGAUGAUGCUCUCU